Molecule: transfer RNA, 76 nt
Filed under: Chloroflexota bacterium
Lineage: Bacteria; Bacillati; Chloroflexota
Description: tRNA-Asp
Rfam family: tRNA
About the family: Transfer RNA (tRNA) molecules are approximately 80 nucleotides in length.
Source: RNAcentral
GGGCCGCUAGCUCAAUUGGGAGAGCACCGUCUUGUCAGGUCGGGGGUUAUGGGUUCGAGCCCCAUGCGGUCCACCA